GACGAACGCUGGCGGCGUGCUUAACACAUGCAAGUCGAACGAAGAGCGAUGGAAGCUUGCUUCUAUCAAUCUUAGUGGCGAACGGGUGAGUAACGCGUAAUCAACCUGCCCUUCAGAGGGGGACAACAGUUGGAAACGACUGCUAAUACCGCAUACGAUCUGACCUCGGCAUCGAGGAUAGAUGAAAGGUGGCCUCUGCAUGUAAGCUAUCACUGAAGGAGGGGAUUGCGUCUGAUUAGCUAGUUGGAGGGGUAACGGCCCACCAAGGCGAUGAUCAGUAGCCGGUCUGAGAGGAUGAACGGCCACAUUGGGACUGAGACACGGCCCAGACUCCUACGGGAGGCAGCAGUGGGGAAUCUUCCGCAAUGGACGAAAGUCUGACGGAGCAACGCCGCGUGAGUGAUGACGGCCUUCGGGUUGUAAAGCUCUGUUAAUCGGGACGAAAGGCCUUUUUGCGAAUAGUGAGAAGGAUUGACGGUACCGGAAUAGAAAGCCACGGCUAACUACGUG
This 510-nucleotide ribosomal RNA is filed under the name uncultured bacterium. Its description in RNAcentral is "partial 16S ribosomal RNA". It matches the Rfam family "Bacterial small subunit ribosomal RNA", at positions 28 to 507 of the family's 1533-position model. The record is from RNAcentral.